Anolis carolinensis (green anole) is the source of this 55-nucleotide small nuclear RNA. Its record names the gene U2. It matches the Rfam family "U2 spliceosomal RNA". Rfam says of the family: U2 is a small nuclear RNA (snRNA) component of the spliceosome (involved in pre-mRNA splicing). Complementary binding between U2 snRNA (in an area lying towards the 5' end but 3' to hairpin I) and the branchpoint sequence (BPS) of the intron results the bulging out of an unpaired adenosine, on the BPS, which initiates a nucleophilic attack at the intronic 5' splice site, thus starting the first of two transesterification reactions that mediate splicing. The record is from Ensembl. Lineage: Eukaryota; Metazoa; Chordata; Lepidosauria; Squamata; Anolidae.
AGUGUAGUAUCUGUUCUUAUCAGUUUAAUAUCUGAUACGUCCUCUAUUUGAGGAC